This 1631-nucleotide long non-coding RNA is filed under the name Gallus gallus (chicken). RNAcentral describes it as "lncRNA (ENSGALG00010008481.1)". The record is from RNAcentral. Lineage: Eukaryota; Metazoa; Chordata; Aves; Galliformes; Phasianidae.
GUAAAACCGUGGGAGCUGGCCGGGAAGCGCCAGCCCUGUGGGGAAACGGGACGGAGGGCUGCCGGGACACCGCGGGGCAGGGCGCGGAGAAGGGCGAGGACUGCCGUGAGUGGCAGCUCCGAGUGGGACAGCCUGAGCCCAGCCAGUGACGCCUCCCUGCCGCUUGUGCGUGGCCGCGGUGCUGCCUGCAGUGCGAGCUCGAGAGGAGCGGGGUGCACCUCAUGACUCUCCUCCGCGUGCGCAUGAACGCAGGGCGGCUGUACGGGGCUGUGGGGAUCGGAAGGGCCUUAGAAAGGGUAGAAAAUACCAGUGACAUCAGAAGCCCAGUGUCUUAGUAUAACAGAAAGUUGGAUCUGUUGCACUUUUAGACAGAAUUAUCCGGAGGAUGUGACAAUGACAGAAAAAAAAUGUGCUUUGCUAUCUUUAAAACUGAUUUGCUCAGCAAUGCUGGAGUAUUAUGGACUUGGAAUAUGGAAUCAUAGUUUUCCCUAUAGAAAGAAUAAACAUACUCUUCAUGACUCGCUGUAGGUUUACCUGUGUACUAAAAUAGCACUUACAGUUUUAAAUACUGCAGCACAAGCUUACGUGCAGGGUCCACAGAAGGAGAAAUGUGUGCAUGAGUGGAUAGUGUUUGAUUUAUUUGGAGAUGAGCAAACAGAUGUAUCUAGGCUGGUUACUCUCAUGUAUUACCUACUGAAAAAAAUAUAAAUUCUUUUUCUUUGGAUGUUCGGCUUCAAUCACUGUAACAUUACCUAUUGUAUGACCAAUUGUACGUGGAUAACAUGAACACUUGUUUCUGUGUAUACAGAUAACUGUUUAAUAUUUCAGUAUAUUUUUUCUGCCAACAGCAUCCAAGGAGUUCAUUCUCAUAGCAAUGUUUGGCCUGCAGGCUGAUGAGCAGGAGGUAAGGUGGAGGACACCACCACCAGUAUUCUGUUUAAAAGAAUGCUCUUUUCCACUUAAAUCUGUAUGCACUGGAAUGAAGGAGAGAUCUCAGUUCUGCUCUAGAGUUGUGUUACACAGGGACCUAAGUUUUGCUCAGCUGUAUUAUCUGACUUCAGCUUGGUCUUGACAGAGCCUUUCCCUUUCCAAUGUGAAAGUGUUCAGGCAGCUUGUACAUGAUCAUCCUAAAUGAUUGUCAUCAUCAUCGUGAUCCAUUUAUAACAGAAACAUGGAAUCUAUGUAUCCAUAGCUCAACACGCAGAACUUGCUUAAGGUUGUUUUUCAGGUGCUAAAUUCAUCCUUUCAACUUACGUAGUCACAGAGAAGUAUGAUCUUCUGUGGUUGGAAUUUCUGCAGGCUGCCUGAGCUCCGUAUGAGGUCAUUUAUUUUGCACUGAUGAAUCCCUUAUUUCUCUACGUGAUUGUUUUACACAUGAGCCAGCAGGAAGAGUUCAUCACCUGAGUUGCUUCACUCCUGUAUUCAUCAAAUUCUUUUUGUCAUCACGUAAAGGCACUUGCACAAGAUCUCUGAGUACCCAACAGUACUGAAAAACAGUCCUAUGCUAUGUCUGUACAAACUGAAAGUUUUUACUAGCUACAACAAAAAAAGUGUUACUAGUUUUCACUUUUCCAACCUGAGGAUAGGAAGCAGAGCUCUACUAAGUGGCAACACUAUGCAUCAUUUUGUGG